GAAAAGGCUGAGGGGGGCCUGGUGGUGGAGCACCUGGUUGAGCACACACGUUACAAUGCACAAGGUCGGGGGUUCGAGCCUCUGGACCCCACCUGCAGGGAGAAAGUUUUGCAAGUGGUGAAGGAAUGCUGCAGGUGUCUCUGUCUCUCUCCCUCUCUAUCUUCCCUGUCGAUUUCUAUCCAACAAAUAAGGAUAAU
Molecule: long non-coding RNA, 197 nt
Organism: Erinaceus europaeus (western European hedgehog)
Lineage: Eukaryota; Metazoa; Chordata; Mammalia; Eulipotyphla; Erinaceidae
Exons: 2
Source: RefSeq, a predicted model, not a curated record